Molecule: ribosomal RNA, 406 nt
Filed under: uncultured bacterium
Lineage: Bacteria
Description: partial 16S ribosomal RNA
Rfam family: Bacterial small subunit ribosomal RNA
Source: RNAcentral
AUUGAACGCUGGCGGCAGGCCUAACACAUGCAAGUCGACCGAGUGGCGGACGGGUGAGUAAUGUCUGGGAAACUGCCUGAUGGAGGGGGAUAACUACUGGAAACGGUAGCUAAUACCGCAUACCCUCAGAUGUGCCCAGAUGGGAUUAGCUUGUUGGUGGGGUAAGGGCUCACCAAGGCGACGCUCGCUAGCUGGUCUGAGAGGAUGACCAGCCACACUGGAACUGAGACACGGUCCAGACGCCUACGGGAGUCAGCAGUGGGGAAGAGUGCACAAUGGGCGCAAGCCUGAUGCAGCCAUGCCGCGUGUAUGAAGAAGGCCUGCGGGUUGUAAAGUACUUUCAGCGGGGAGGCGUGACCCGCAGAAGAAGCACCGGCUAACUCCGGGCCAGCAGCCGCGGUAAUUC